RNAcentral lists this ribosomal RNA (703 nucleotides) under Salmonella enterica subsp. enterica. RNAcentral's name for it is "partial 23S ribosomal RNA". It matches the Rfam family "Bacterial large subunit ribosomal RNA", at positions 478 to 1179 of the family's 2925-position model. The record is from RNAcentral. Lineage: Bacteria; Pseudomonadati; Pseudomonadota; Gammaproteobacteria; Enterobacterales; Enterobacteriaceae.
GACUGACCGAUAGUGAACCAGUACCGUGAGGGAAAGGCGAAAAGAACCCCGGCGAGGGGAGUGAAAAAGAACCUGAAACCGUGUACGUACAAGCAGUGGGAGCACAGGUUUACCUGUGUGACUGCGUACCUUUUGUAUAAUGGGUCAGCGACUUAUAUUCUGUAGCAAGGUUAACCGAAUAGGGGAGCCGGAGGGAAACCGAGUCUUAAUUGGGCGUUAAGUUGCAGGGUAUAGACCCGAAACCCGGUGAUCUAGCCAUGGGCAGGUUGAAGGUUGGGUAACACUAACUGGAGGACCGAACCGACUAAUGUUGAAAAAUUAGCGGAUGACCUGUGGCUGGGGGUGAAAGGCCAAUCAAACCGGGAGAUAGCUGGUUCUCCCCGAAAGCUAUUUAGGUAGCGCCUCGUGAAUUCAUCUCCGGGGGUAGAGCACUGUUUCGGCUAGGGGGCCAUCCCGGCUUACCAACCCGAUGCAAACUGCGAAUACCGGAGAAUGUUAUCACGGGAGACACACGGCGGGUGCUAACGUCCGUCGUGAAGAGGGAAACAACCCAGACCGCCAGCUAAGGUCCCAAAGUCAUGGUUAAGUGGGAAACGAUGUGGGAAGGCCCAGACAGCCAGGAUGUUGGCUUAGAAGCAGCCAUCAUUUAAAGAAAGCGUAAUAGCUCACUGGUCGAGUCGGCCUGCGCGGAAGAUGUAACGGG